Molecule: small nucleolar RNA, 122 nt
Organism: Otolemur garnettii (small-eared galago)
Lineage: Eukaryota; Metazoa; Chordata; Mammalia; Primates; Galagidae
Source: Ensembl
AUUUAAUAUUAUAAUUUGUUAGACUUAUGUCUUUAUUGGUCAUGUAAGUGGGGCAAAGCAAAUAUCCUUUCAAAACUCAGGCAAACUGGUGUUUGUCUUGAAUCUUGUCAAAGGAAACAAAU